GCCGGCAUAGCUCAGAGGUAGAGCUACUGUCUUGUAAACAGUAGGUCCCCGGUUCGAUUCCGGGUGCCGGCUCCA
RNAcentral lists this transfer RNA (75 nucleotides) under Acidobacteriota bacterium. Its description in RNAcentral is "tRNA-Thr". It matches the Rfam family "tRNA". Rfam says of the family: Transfer RNA (tRNA) molecules are approximately 80 nucleotides in length. Lineage: Bacteria; Pseudomonadati; Acidobacteriota. The record is from RNAcentral.